UCAGCUGCUCGUCUUCAGGCGGUGGACUCCGCCCACAGCCAGCGGAUGUCCUCCUCCUGCCGCUCCAGGCGCGAAACCACGGCUCCGCCGCCAGGGUCUCCGCCGCCAUGAUCCCACCUCCCACAGAUGGAGAAAGUGAAGCACAGAAAGGCUAAGUGACUUGACCAAGGCCACACCAGAGCCACAUGACAUAGCUGAGACUCACUCUCAUAAAGCAGAGUUUGAAUAAACAUCAUCAGCAACUGGCAGAAUCCCCGUGGGGGUUCCCUGACCCACAGACUGAAGGCUCUUCUAGUAAGAAGGGCCAGGUGGAAGGCACUGAAAUUUUCUCGACCUUCAAAAGAAGUACAGCAAAACCAACACCAUGUUCCUGGAGGAAGGGCAGAGAUGACCGCCACCCUCAAGGACUUGAAAGGUGCAGGUGUGUGAUUCUCACCACACCUCCGUUUACCUCACCUAUUGAGCUCGUGUCGAUGACAAACCCGUGUUGAAGGAUUACAGUGGAUGAUCCUAAAUUUGGUUAGAUGGUGACCCUAGUCACAGCUGCUCUUCCAGGCGUGCUAACAUUGGUGGAGUCUAGCAACAUAACCUCUGACAUCUCACAUGCAGCUGUGGACCUGGCUAUUGCUUUUUUCUCUAUACCUGUUAGUUAAAGGCCAUCAAAAGUAGUUUUCUUUCAGCUGGCAAGACUAGCAUUUAUGUGCAUGUGUAUAUGUGUACAUGUAUGUCCACACAUGUAUUUCCUCAUACUCUGUGCUGAAGGGGUCAAGAAGCAGGCAUACCCAGCAGCAGUGAGCACACUCAGCAUCAAGAUCUUGGCCUGUAAUACCAUUGCUCACCAAAGGAAGCAGGGCUUCUGGGAGAAAGGGCUGAUUCCAGGACUGGAGCCCACGAAGUUUCAAGAUAAGCCUGGAGCACCUUGUUUUGCUAGAAAGCAAGAAAGUGCCCACCACCACCCCCAAAAUGAUGGAAGCAUGUCACCAGGACACAGGAACCGGCUUGGAGGGGCUCCCACUGGCCACACCUGGGACCACUUGAACAUCAAAAAUAAUUAAGUUCAGUUGUGAACAAUAAAGCAUUGAAAAAUACAGGAAUUCAUACUGAUAAUCCUGCUAAAUGGUAAAUGCAGAGGUAAAUGUGGAUUUGAAAAAUAUCACUUUGCCAGCAUCACAGAGAGAUCAGGUCAGGCAAGAAUACUCUAGGGAGAAGCUUUGAGAAGCAGCAGGGUACUUUUAUGGUUGUGAAGUGUCUCCCUGUAGAAUGUUGAUUAGUUGCAAGGGAGAGGACAAAAAGGAAUUAUACGAUCGAGAAAUCAUGCAAUACUUGAUCAAAAUUAACAUCACCUGUGAGAAACAGGUGGCCAUCACGCAUCCCCUGAAUGCAUGAUCUCAGUAUAACCGCAAGGAAACAGCGGAUAAAUACAAAGUGAGGAACACAGUGUUAACAACAUGGGGAUGAUUGGGGAGGAGGAGCUUUUCUUCAAAAAUGUCGAUAUCAUAAACAAUAAUGUCUGUAGAAAUGUUCCAGGUUAAAGGAGGCUAAAAAGCCAUGAUGAGUAAAUGCAACACCGACCCCAGAUUGGACCCUGAGGGUGAAAAGCAAUAAAGGGCAUUAUUAGGUUGACCAGACAGAACUGGAACAGGAAUGGAAUAUCAGACAAGGCUAUUAAUGUGAAUUUAUGAGGUUGAUAACUGUCUUCAGGUUAUUGAAGGGAUUAUCUCCUUUCUCAGCAAAAACAAGCGGAAGAAUUUCGGGGAGAAGUGUCAUGAUGUCUAUUACAUCCAAAUAGUUCAGAAAAAAAACACACUGCAGAGGGAGAGAGAACAAAUGUUAGCAUAGGAAAUGUUCACAGCCUCAAAUGCGAGGCAUCUGAAAAUGAGUACUGGCUCCGAAAGCAUCUUUCAGACUCUCUCCCCCAGGGAAAGCCCUCGGGAGCUCUCUAUGGCAGACGGAGGGAAAUCCAAAUUUCUUUUCAGGACCAUAUAGGCUGGCCAGAUUGAGCUCAGGACUGAUGACCUUUCUGUCACUGCCCCAGAACCCCAUGCUCUCCAAGCCCACGUGCAGCUUCAUGGAGCCCCAAGGUGCAUCCCUCUCUCUCCUGCUCUGGGAUUUGCACACUCGGAGUCUCAGCCUGAUAAUGGCUCCCGUCCACUCUUAAGAUCCGACUUCUUUUCAUCUUGGAGGUUGUCACUUAAGGGCCCACCUCUCCACUCUAUUUAAGGUCUCCCCACCCCCAUUUUCUCUCAGCAUCUUUUUCAGCUUUGUUGUAAUUACUUCAUUUCUGUGUCACCUGAUUUUUUUCUCUCCCUACCUGUGCCUUUUCUCCAAGGAGGGAAGUUGUCUGUCUUGGUCACUGUUAUUUUGUAUCACGCACCAGCGCAAAGUGGGUGUCCCAGGAGAAUCUUGAAGUAAGAACAGCCUGUGGAGGCAGUAAAAUGAUCGAGAGGGGCAGGCACUGAUGAAGAAGGGGUGUACAGAGGAUCUUUAGGGCAGUGAAGCUACUCUCUGUGAUGCUAUAACGAUGGAUACGCAUCAUGACACAUUUGUCGAAACCCAUAGAAUGGACACCACCAGGAGGGCACCCUAAUGUGGCCCUUGGACUCUGGGGGGCAAGGAUGAGUCAACGUAGGUGCAUAAUUGUAACCAAUGUGCCACUCGGGUAGGGGACAUUGAUAGUGGGGGAGGCUGUGAGUGGACGGGGCCGGGGGUAAAUGGAAAAUUUCUGUGCUUUCUGUCAACUUUGUGGUGAACCUAAAACUGCUCGAGAAAGAUAAGUUAAAAAAGAGAAAGUGGCCGAGAGACUACAAAAUACCACCAGAUGGUGCUGAUUCCCUUGGAAGUAUCAGUGUGGGGCACACGCCCUUCGAUGCUGGUGUUGAGAGUGGUCGGGAUUCUGUGACUUCUGGUCCAGUUCUUGGGAGACUCCAAGUGCUUCACAGGAUUGUCACAGUGCAGCCCCUGGGUUUGUGCUUUCAAUGGAUGCUUUAGAACGUCAAGUUUAUUGGUAUUGAGGCAGGACGAGGCCACCAGAUCAGGAGAACGCUGCUGUUGAAAAGGUAGUUUGUUACAUCCCCCAUGAGGAGUGGUUGCUUUGCUCCAGGCCUGGUGGGGCCACGUAGGGAGGCACCAGGGGGCAGAAGGAGCAGGAGGAAAAGGUGGGUUCAAGUCUUUACUGUGGUUUCUGCUGGAAGGAAUGGACAAGGCAGGGUAAACAAGCUUAGGAUGAGCCAGUUUGAAAUCUUUCAGUGGGCUGUUUUCUGGUACCUGGCCCUGGAUUAGGGCAUGUGGAGAGUGGCCCCAAGUGUGAGAGCCCCAUAAAGGAGGUAUUUGGGGGUGUGGGCUCUGGAUUGGCUGGCUUGCCUGUGAAAGUCAUGCUUGCAGGCGAGUCCUUUGUCCUCUCUAGGAACUGGCUACCCCUCGAGAGGCAAUCUCUUCAGAGUUAGCAAGGCCCCAAGAUGGUAAAACAUCAGAAACACAUGGUUAUAUGAUAUCACUUAUAUG
Non-coding RNA from Vicugna pacos (alpaca), 3501 nucleotides. NCBI's taxonomy places the organism in Eukaryota, Metazoa, Chordata, Mammalia, Artiodactyla, Camelidae. The record is from RefSeq and is a predicted model, not a curated record.